GUGAAUCAUCAAAUUUUUGAACGCAAAUUGCACUUUCUGGUAUUCCGGAAAGUAUGCCUGUUUGAGGGUCAUUUAAAUAAAAAUCGGUGAUGUUGCUGCCUUUCGUGUUGACGCGUCGGAUUUUAGUCUUCUUAGCUUCGGUUAAGCUUCUUAAAAUUGUUGCAUGAUUUUCUAACGUAUUUAAAUCGUUUACGUACGUUUGAGAUAUCGAAUCCUUAUUAGUUUCGUUCAUCCUCGUUACGCGCGCCUAUAAUUUUUUCAUUAACUGUCUUAAAAUCAGGUAA
This 284-nucleotide unclassified non-coding RNA is filed under the name Glomus sp. Its description in RNAcentral is "partial contains 5.8S ribosomal RNA and internal transcribed spacer 2". The stretch from base 1 to 71 matches the Rfam family "5.8S ribosomal RNA", at positions 84 to 154 of the family's 154-position model. Lineage: Eukaryota; Fungi; Glomeromycota; Glomeromycetes; Glomerales; Glomeraceae. The record is from RNAcentral.